Molecule: non-coding RNA, 1466 nt
Organism: Peromyscus maniculatus bairdii (prairie deer mouse)
Lineage: Eukaryota; Metazoa; Chordata; Mammalia; Rodentia; Cricetidae
Source: RefSeq, a predicted model, not a curated record
UGGAGCCCCGGAUGGGAGCCUCGGUGCUCGCCGCCGAGUGCAAUUGGUUUGGAGGGAUUGCGGAGGCUGGAGUUGGGCAAGGGUCGAUCCGAGGUGACAUGAGCACCAGGAGGAAGCCAUGGCAGUGGAAGUCUGGGCGGUAGGCUCCGGGGACCUGCUGAUGCCUUCGGUUUUCGGGUGUCUUCAUGCUUUGAGGACGACACCUUUGGGUUCUGGCUUGUUUGUUACAGAGGCCCUCCUCGGAUCUCCUUUCGAAGCCCUGUCUCAUUUUGCGGCCUUUUCCUGAUGUUGUGGGGAACAUACUCAACACUAGGCUUCCCCCAGGCACAGAUCCUCUUCUGACAACAAACUUCCAACUUCCUGCCCAGCUGCUGGAGAUCUGAACUCCAGUCCUCAUGCUCAAGAAUCACAGUCCACUGAGCUAUCUCCACAGCAGCGUUGAACACCACCAUCCUCUUACAGCUCUCCAGGACACUGACUGCAGUGGUAACAUCCCGAACGAUGCUGUUUUCCUAUUGCUAGUCGGAGUCUGUCAGUGCAGUGGGUUAUAGGGACCAGACAGUAGACAGGUAUUCUAGAACGGCCUGAGAGACAUGCUGGCAUGCCUACUCUCUAUUUUGUGACUUAAAGGCCCCAUCAGACAGAAUACUGAAGAUGCAGUUAUUUGUGAUUAAUAAUUUAUUAGUUGCCAUCUGUGAAUUAAGAGCCCUGAAUUUGAGGCUGAGGCUAUAGCUCAGUUCAGUGUGCUUGUCUAGCACACACGAAACCUUGUAAUUCUAGCACCAACAAACAAGCAAACAAUACAACACACACACACACACACACACACACACACACACACACACACCACACACACACACACAUAAGGCAGUAAUAUUGGAGGCCAGAAGAAGGCGUCAGAUCACCUGGAGGAGAGAGGGAGAGAGAGGAGGUGUGGGGGAGACAGACAGACAGACACAGAGAGCCAUCCCUCUGGUUCUAUUCUUGGACAAGGCAUUUCCCCUCUCCACAGGUCCAGUCCUUUGUUGUAAAAUUAGUUUGUUUCUACUAAAUCUCUAUGUUCUUUCUAAUUCUUUUUUGUUUGUUUUGUUGUUGUUUGUUUGUUUGUUUUUGUUUGUGAGACAGACAUAGUUCCUCUAUGUAGUUUUGGUGCCUGUCCUGGAUCUUGCUCUGUAGACCAGGCUGGCCUCGAACUCACAGAGAUCCACCUGGCUCUGCCUCCCGAGUGCUGGGAUUAAAAGCUUGUGCUACCACCCGGUUGUUCUUUCUAAUUCUAAGAUCAGAAUUUUAUAAACUUAGGGACUGUAUUAAGGAUUGUUCCCCCUAGAGCUAAAAAUGAAAUCCAGGACCUCUCUACCACUGAGCUAAAUCCAAAACCCCAAGGAUUUUUUUUUUUAAGUCAGGCUCUGGUGUAGCCCAGGCUGGCCUUAAAACUUGCUGUAUUAGCCGGGCGUUGGUGGCGCAGC